CGGGAGAGAUGUGUGUUUGUUUGGGCGAGACAGGCAACAAGGCUUGGCCUGGUCCAAAUGAACCGGAUCAAGCAGAUUCAUGGCUUCGUCCUCCGCAAUGGCGUCGACGACAUCCAGGCGCUCGUCCUCCAGCUUCUCCACCUCCCCAGCCCCAACCUCCGCUAUGCACACGCCCUCCUUCUCUCCCACCCCACCCCACCCUCCACCUUCCUCUACAACAAGCUCUUCCAGGCCUACGCCCGCGGCGGCGGCGCCUCAUUCGAGCCUUGCGCCGAGCUCUUCGUCAGCAUGCGCCGCUCUCCAAACCCGCACACCUUCGUAUUCCUCUUCUCUGCCUGCGCCGCCUUCGCCCGCCCCGGCCACGGCCGCGCCCUCCACGCCCGCUUCAUUCUCUCCGGCUUCCCUUUCGACGCCUUCGUUGCCACCGCCCUCCUCGACCUCUACGCCAAGUCCGGCCUCUUCGACUCCGCCCGACGCGUGUUCGACGAAAUGCCCACGCGUGACGUCGCCCUAUGGAACUCCAUGAUCCGGGGCUACUUCCGGUGCGGUGAUCUGGACAAGGCCAGGGAGUUGUUCGACGCGAUGCCGUUCAGGAAUGUCAUCUCCUGGACGUCAAUGAUCUCGGGGUACACCCAGAACUCGCGGUACGAGGAGGCUAUCAAUGUAUUCUCGAGGAUGUGGCUGGAAGGAGAGGUGAAGCCUAACGAGGUCACGCUUGCAAGCGUGCUGCCGGCCUGCGCGCAUCUUGGGGCGAUGGAACUGGGAAUGAAAAUUGAGGCAUAUGUACGGGACAACGGGAUGAUUCGCAACGUAUUUGUGUGCAAUGCUCUGCUAGAAAUGUUCGCAAAAUGUGGCAACAUCGAGCAUGCAAAGAAGGUGUUUGAUGAAAUGGGCGUGAUCAGAAAUUUGUGUUCUUAUAAUACGAUGAUCAUGGGACUGGCAGUGCACGGGAAGUGGCAUGAAAGUCUGGAGCUUUUCCAGGAAUUGCAGGCAAGAAGAAUUAGCCCCGAUGACAUUACACUGGUAGGUGUUCUUUUGGCUUGCACUCAUGGAGGACUUGUAGAUGAGGGACAAUUUUUCUUUGAUUCCAUGGAAAAGGACUUUUGUAUUACUCCUAAAUUGGAACACUAUGGUUGCUUGGUCGAUCUAUUAGGGCGUGCUGGAUAUACAAAAGAAGCCUACAGUCUGAUAACUAGUAUGCCAAUGGAGCCAGACUCAGUUAUAUGGGGUGCUCUACUAGGAGCUUGCAGCUUUCAUCGAGACGUCCAAUUAGCAGAAAUUGCUGCUGAAUUCCUAUAUAAACUUGAGCCUUUGAAUUCAGGAAACCUUGUUAUUCUUUCCAAUGUGUAUGCUUCAUUAGGGAGGUGGGCUUCUGUUGCAAAUGUUUGGAGACUGAUGAAAGGAAAGCAACACAGAAAGUCAGCUGGUUACAGCAUUAUUGAGUUGGACGGAAAUAUGCACAAAUUCCUUGUGGAGGAUAAAUCACACCCACAGUUUGAAGAGAUUUAUACUCUCUUGGAUGAGAUUACAAUGAGUAUGAGACAAUUUGGUUACAAGCCUAAUCGGAUUCUCCAGGCCGAAAGCUAAGAAGAGUAAGAUGCCAGUAAGGUUGACUGUUGCCAACAAACUCUGAAGCGGCAUACAGUGGCCGGCGGUGAAAACAUCACCUUAUGAGACAUCAAGUUUCCCAUAUUAUUUGAGUCAAUGAUGUAUCAAAAAAUUGCAGCCAUAUAAGCUCCUCAUCUCACAAGAAUUUGACAUAUUUCAGUUUACUAGAAGGGAAAAUCUGGUGCUAAAGAAGCAAUGUGGUGAUUGAGUACAAGACAAUUAAAUCAUGAAGUUGCAGGUGUUUCAGGCUUCAUGUCGGGGCUAAAAUACUUUCAUCUUUUUAAUUAUCAAUUCAAAGAUUAUGAAUGUACUAGCAAAAGAUUUUAACUUCUACAUUUCUAUCUACUAUUCUAGAGAAAGGUGGUAUGAUGCAUACAUCAUCUGUCGGCAAACUUGGAAGCAUCUCCGAAAGCAUUCUUUCUACUGGGUGAAGCAUUGUUGAAACCAGUAUCGUGCUUCUGCAAGAAUAAGCCAGUUCCUUGCUUAUCUCACCACAAAAUCAAGAUUAUAGAUUUUUUUUUUUCAUCUUUUCUCUGUUUAUUGGUAAUCCCUACUGUGUUUGACAAAUUGUUCAUCUAUUUCUCUAAGCAUUGAUUUGAUUAAACGGAAUUUUGUUAGUCUCCUCAAUUGUAAAUUAUA
Molecule: RNA transcript, 2247 nt
Organism: Zingiber officinale
Lineage: Eukaryota; Viridiplantae; Streptophyta; Magnoliopsida; Zingiberales; Zingiberaceae
Gene name: pentatricopeptide repeat-containing protein At5g08510-like
Exons: 3
Source: RefSeq, a predicted model, not a curated record